RNAcentral lists this ribosomal RNA (482 nucleotides) under uncultured bacterium. Its description in RNAcentral is "bacterial SSU rRNA". It matches the Rfam family "Bacterial small subunit ribosomal RNA", at positions 32 to 520 of the family's 1533-position model. The record is from RNAcentral.
AAUCAACGCUGGCGGCGUGCCUCAGACAUGCAAGUCGAACGAUUAAAGCUCUCUUCGGAGAGUGCAUAGAGUGGCGCACGGGGUGAGUAACACGUAAGUAAUCUACCUUCGAGUGGGGAAUAACGUCCGGAAACGGGCGCUAAUACCGCAUAAUGCAGCGGCAUCGCAAGAUGACAGUUGUUAAAGGAACAAUCCGCUUGAAGAGGAGCUUGCGGCAGAUUAGCUAGUUGGUAGGGUAAUGGCCUACCAGGGCUACGAUCUGUAACCGGUCUUAGAGGACGGUCGGUCACACUGACACUGAAUAACGGGUCAGACUCCUACGGGAGGCAGCAGUCGGGAAUUUUGGGCAAUGGGGGAAACCCUGACCCAGCAACGCCGCGUGAAGGAUGAAGUAUUUCGGUAUGUAAACUUCGAAAGAAUAGGAAGAAUUAAUGACGGUACUAUUUAUAAGGUACCGGCUAACUACGUGCCAGCAGCCGCGG